Molecule: ribosomal RNA, 460 nt
Filed under: uncultured bacterium
Lineage: Bacteria
Description: partial 16S ribosomal RNA
Rfam family: Bacterial small subunit ribosomal RNA
Source: RNAcentral
CCUACGUGUGGCUGCAGUGAGGAAUAUUGGUCAAUGGACGAGAGUCUGAACCAGCCAAGUAGCGUGAAGGAUGACUGCCCUAUGGGUUGUAAACUUCUUUUAUAUGGGAAUAAAAUGUUCCACGUGUGGGCUUUUGUAUGUACCAUAUGAAUAAGGAUCGGCUAACUCCGUGCCAGCAGCCGCGGUAAUACGGAGGAUCCGAGCGUUAUCCGGAUUUAUUGGGUUUAAGGGGAGCGUAGGUGGAUUGUUAAGUCAGUUGUGAAAGUUUGCGGCUCAACCGUAAAAUUGCAGUUGAAACUGGCAGUCUGGAGUACAGUAGAGGUAGGCGGAAUGCGUGGUGUAGCGGUGAAAUGCUUAGAUAUCACGAAGAACCCCGAUUGCGAAGGCAGCUUACUAAACUGUGACUGACAUUGAUGCUCGAAAGUGUGGGUAUCAAACAGGAUUAGAUACCCUUGUAGUC